UGUGCGAGAAUGAGCGAUCUAAUCAAUAUGUCAUAUUUGGCUGGUUGCACUGCAAAAACUGGCAACAGUUACUGAUGUUAUGACAGAUUGUUUUUGUUUUGUCUGGAUAACGAAUCACAGAUCGAAUCGAUCGAACAGCAUUAGAAUUAUUAAUUUUUAAUCAGGUUUUUAAUGCUUAUUUGCUUGACCGAAGACGUUGUUGGAGUUUCUGAGCAUUCGAAAAAUCAAACAUCAUCAACAGAAGAUGCAUUCAUCGGGGCGCAGCAAUCGUAUUAAUGAGAGCGGUUUCCCUUGCGGAAUCAAACUAUUUAAUCAAUAUAUAGCACCAUCGAUCAACUAUUGUAUGCAAAAUAAUACAUGAGGUAUUUAGACCGACAGUGAGAAUAUUACUAUGCGGAAGGUUCUCGGGUUAAGUCCAAAAGUUAGAGAUUGUCGAGUGAUCGAAAAUGCAGUCGACUCAUCUCGAUAUCCCAAAGACCAUUCAAACCACCAAGAACCAGGAAACUAGGGAGCACAAAUUUCAUAUAGUUCAAAUCAUCUAUAACCCAGGAUAAGUAUAAUUAAAGUUUUAAUAGAGGUUUUUUAUCUUUAUGUUAUAUAUUUUUGGCAAUGCGAUUUCUUGACAUUCGACUUAUAUUCUACAAGUAAUGAUGUAAAUUUUCGAAAAUUGAGGUAGGGAAAGUGUACCAGUUAUGGUACGGUUUGAUAUUAUAACGACGCAGUAAAAUGCGUUAUCGCAUAAGUAGGUGCUAGCUCAAAUUUCAAUAUGCAGGAGAUGGUGCGUGAGUGCCCUGAUGAUGUUUCGGAAAAAUAAAUGAGGAAUAGAAUAACCUUCAGA
RNAcentral lists this long non-coding RNA (838 nucleotides) under Aedes aegypti (yellow fever mosquito). RNAcentral's name for it is "lncRNA AAEL026611". Lineage: Eukaryota; Metazoa; Arthropoda; Insecta; Diptera; Culicidae. The record is from RNAcentral.